AAAUCACCCCCUAAGUUUUGCAGCUGUAGCAGUUUUGGCCCCCAAAGGCAAAAAAAUAAAUAAUAAUAACAUGUGGCACCUCACUUAGGGUGUCAUGUCAGCGUAGACCGAGUCAAAAUUGACAUUGAAGGCCAAAACCGCCACAUGUGCAAAACUUAGGGGGCGAUUU
RNAcentral lists this microRNA precursor (169 nucleotides) under Medicago truncatula (barrel medic). Its description in RNAcentral is "MIR2619 microRNA precursor family". It matches the Rfam family "MIR2619 microRNA precursor family". Lineage: Eukaryota; Viridiplantae; Streptophyta; Magnoliopsida; Fabales; Fabaceae. The record is from Rfam by way of RNAcentral.